Molecule: ribosomal RNA, 433 nt
Filed under: uncultured bacterium
Lineage: Bacteria
Description: partial 16S ribosomal RNA
Rfam family: Bacterial small subunit ribosomal RNA
Source: RNAcentral
AACGAACGCUGGCGGCAUGCCUAACACAUGCCAGUCGAACGAGACCUUCGGGUCUAGUGGCGCACGGGUGCGUAACGCGUGGGAACCUGCCCUUAGGUUCGGAAUAACUCCCCGAAAGGGGUGCUAAUACCGGAUAAUGUCUUCGGACCAAAGAUCUAUCGCCUUUGGAUGGGCCCGCGUUGGAUUAGCUAGUUGGUAGGGUAAAAGCCUACCAAGGCGACGAUCCAUAGCUGGUCUGAGAGGAUGAUCAGCCACACUGGGACUGAGACACGGCCCAGACUCCUACGGGAGGCGGCAGUGGGGAAUAUUGGACGAUGGGCGAAAGCCUGAUCCAGCAAUGCCGCGUGAGUGAUGAAGGCCUUAGGGUUGUAAAGCUCUUUUACCCGGGAUGAUAAUGACAGUACCGGGAGAAUAAGCUCCGGCUAACUCCGUG